AGCUUUGCGCAGUGGCAGUAACAUAGCUGAUGAGGUUCAUCCGAGGCGUGUUUAUUGCUAGUUGAAAACUAUACCCAAUACCCCGCCCUGUGGACGUAUAAACCGUUCGCUGUGGCAAUUUUUGAUGGGUUCCCCGGAAC
Non-coding RNA from Ciona savignyi (Pacific transparent sea squirt), 140 nucleotides. Lineage: Eukaryota; Metazoa; Chordata; Ascidiacea; Phlebobranchia; Cionidae. The record is from Rfam.